Molecule: long non-coding RNA, 230 nt
Filed under: Solanum tuberosum (potato)
Lineage: Eukaryota; Viridiplantae; Streptophyta; Magnoliopsida; Solanales; Solanaceae
Description: long non-coding RNA (STUB_LNC003023)
Source: RNAcentral
UAAAAUGGUAGUCAAAUUGGUUGAAAGCCAAAACUGAUCAACAAAAUCAUCCUACUCCAAAGUCAAAUUUUGAUGACAUCUUGUCCUGUUAUGGUUUCGUGACGAACUUAUUUGACAAUAAAAUAGUAUACACUAUUUCAUUUACAAUUGAAGAAAUUGACUUCGGAUAAAGAUUUCUUAAGAUUCUAAAACUCGUUUAUAUAAUUCACAUAAUAUUUAUUUCUUUGAGC